RNAcentral lists this ribosomal RNA (506 nucleotides) under uncultured bacterium. RNAcentral describes it as "partial 16S ribosomal RNA". It matches the Rfam family "Bacterial small subunit ribosomal RNA", at positions 28 to 523 of the family's 1533-position model. The record is from RNAcentral.
GUUGAACGCUGGCGGCAUGCCUUACACAUGCAAGUCGAACGGCAGCAUGGAAGAGCUUGCUCUUCUGAUGGCGAGUGGCGAACGGGUGAGUAAAGCAUCGGAACGUACCGUGUAAUGGGGGAUAACGUAGCGAAAGUUACGCUAAUACCGCAUACGACCUGAGGGUGAAAGCAGGGGAUCGCAAGACCUUGCGUUAUACGAGCGGCCGAUGUCAGAUUAGCUAGUUGGUAGGGUAAAGGCCUACCAAGGCGACGAUCUGUAGCGGGUCUGAGGGGAUGAUCCGCCACACUGGGACUGAGACACGGCCCAGACUCCUACGGGAGGCAGCAGUGGGGAAUUUUGGACAAUGGGGGAAACCCUGAUCCAGCCAUGCCGCGUGAGUGAAGAAGGCCUUCGGGUUGUAAAGCUCUUUCGGCCGGGAAGAAAUCGCACAGGCUAAUACUCUGUGUGGAUGACGGUACCGGCAUAAGAAGCACCGGCUAACUACGUGCCAGCCGCCGCGGUAA